Long non-coding RNA from Populus euphratica (Euphrates poplar), 411 nucleotides. RefSeq lists it as uncharacterized. The record is from RefSeq and is a predicted model, not a curated record. Lineage: Eukaryota; Viridiplantae; Streptophyta; Magnoliopsida; Malpighiales; Salicaceae. The transcript has 2 exons.
AUGCCUAUGAACAUGUGGUUUAGGCCAUUCUGACCACUGUUGCCCUAGUGUCUUUCACUAUUUUUUACAUCAUACUUCUUGUUUUACUUCUGUGUAGAUGGGGUAGGAAUCAAUCCUCAGCAAAGUGCAGGCAAUGUCUUCCUUAAACAUGGUUCUGAACUGCGCCUGAUCCCACGUGAUAGGGUUGGAGCUUCUGAAUGUUGAAAACAUGAUCAUCAUCAGACUAAAAAACUGGUUAAUCUUUGUGCUUACUCUGUUAUCUUAUUUUCUUCUAUACCAUUCUGUAACUUUUAAUUAGUGUAACUGGUAUCAUAAUCAAUAUCAAUUGAGAAGGAAGGUAGCUGAAGGUAUCUGCAAUGCAUGGUCUUUCAAGUUAAUCAUAAUAGAAAGGUCUCCUUGCCCUUUUUCUUA